AUAUUAAUAAGCGGAGGAAAAGAAACUAACAAGGAUUCCCUUAGUAACGGCGAGUGAAGUGGGAAGAGCUCAAAAUGAAAUCGGUGUGUCUAGCGAUACAUCGAGUUGUAGCCUAGAGAUGCCAUGUUAGUGUACGGCUCGGAUCCAAAUCUUUUGGAAUAAGGUGUCAUAGAGGGUGAGAACCCCGUCUCUGAUCCAGAGUCCGUCGCGUACGACUGGUAUUCAAAGAGUCGAGUUGUUUGGGAUUGCAACUCUAAAUGGGUGGUAAACUUCAUCAUAAAGCUAAAUAUAAGCCGC
Molecule: ribosomal RNA, 297 nt
Filed under: uncultured eukaryote
Lineage: Eukaryota
Description: partial large subunit ribosomal RNA
Rfam family: Eukaryotic large subunit ribosomal RNA
Source: RNAcentral